Pseudopipra pipra is the source of this 2384-nucleotide long non-coding RNA. RefSeq lists it as uncharacterized. The transcript has 2 exons. NCBI's taxonomy places the organism in Eukaryota, Metazoa, Chordata, Aves, Passeriformes, Pipridae. The record is from RefSeq and is a predicted model, not a curated record.
AAUAACUUUUGGUUUGUGUAUGAGAUUACAAUCUCAGGCUAUAAAAUAGUUCUUAUGCAACUCACUUUCUAAAUUUUUGCUACUAUUACUGGUGUAGUAUUUUGCUGUAAAUGUUUUUAAAUACAAUUUAAAAAUGUUUAUCAAGUUAUUGAUACCUGUGAUUUAAAUCAAAAGCCACAAAAAAGGGGAUUUAAUUUAGAACUGCUGCAAAAAGCAUGAGUUUUAGAGCAGAUUCCCAGAUAAGGUUUUAUUCUGAAAUACAAUCUACCUGCUUACAGAAGUUUUGGUUAGAUGAGAGGCACAUACAUUGCCUUUGAAAACAGAUACACACACACAUGCUCACACCCAGAGCACACAUGGGUCACACCACCCUGGAAGUCACAGUGGAUACAGUCUUUUCUUCAGGCUUGAAACAAGAGUAAAUAAAUCGACCACGGUCUUGGGUACAAAGAGCAUACAGGAAUACCUGAACAUUCACUCAUAUGUCAGCAUGAGCUAAAUUUCAUAGAUGUUAUUUGAUAGUAAGAGCCAUAAGACAGGAAGAGAGACAGACUGACAAAACAGUUAAGCAUGGGCUUAACUUUAAGUUUGUAUCUAAAUCCUUAUGAAGUCAACAGCUAUGCUGUUGGGAGCUAUGCCAGUGUGCAGCUGAAGAUGUGACCAUCCUAGUUUACUUCAUGUAAGCAUGUUGUUACUAAGUUUGUAAGCAGAAAUGGAGUUAGACAACUAUUUGUAAGUGUUGUGAAAAACAUAUUAGCAAAAUUUUUAUAUUGGCUAGUGCAAAAGAAUAAUAAAAUCAAAGAGAAACUACUUGUCAUCACGUCAGCAAGAAACAGUGUGCACGAUUUAUUUCUAUUUCAUUCCAAUUUUAUUAUUAACAGAGCUCCAAUGCUUUCAAUGCACAUAAAGCCACCAUAGCACAGAGGCAAAUCAAUUGAGCUUGGUUUCAUUUUGGACAGCAUUGGGAGCAUCUGCUAAAUGUACAACAAGACCAACUUUCUACCCCAACAUAUUAUAAUAGAUGAGAAACAGGAGAGGAUUUUUUUUUUUUAAUUAUAAUGCUUCCAUCUUUUGUAUUGAUUUUGACAGGCCAUUGGACCCAUUAAAGAAGACAAUGUUUGCUCCUUCACUUCUUGCAUUGUAGAUACAAGCAAAAAGACUAUCCACCUUGAUCCUGAAACUUAUUCUACCCCACUAGGAACUUCAGGAAUGAACUUACUAACUUUAGUGGGGCAAGAACCUAAAGAAUCUGUUAAGGAAAGCAGGAAUCACUGAAGCAAAGAAGGAUCCACAUCAGGCAUUCUGUCCUUUGACAACAAGAAAAUACCAGCAUCUCUUUUGCAAUUUGGAAUUUCUGCUGUACCAGUAUACAAGACUUCAGAGAGAAAAUAUCUGGCAAGAGGAAAAGCCUUGUCUCAAAGCUUCCAUUUUAUAUAUUACACAAUUUAACUUCUCUGACCAAGGAAGGUGGUGACUGCCAACUCUUCUUCCCUGAGAGCCAGAAGGAAUAGCAGAGCAUAGAGGUAGUCAGUACACAUUUUAAUGUACUGCUGUCUCAUGCACUCUGGACCAUCAAGAGAAAAACUGUGUGUUACUUGUAAGGCUUCCACUCCAGUGAAUCUCAUCUGUUUGGCUCUCCUCCUAAUAAUACCAACCAGCACCCCGCAAACAUGCUCAUACUGUAUUAGAAUAUAACAAUUUUAUAAAUGUGGAAAAGAGACAUUUUUUGAAGUCAAUGACUGCAGCUAGCAAAAGCCACCUCAUACACUGCAGACCACUUGUGCAAGUCAAGGCCUUUUUGUCAGAGAAUACCUUUAUUUCAUUAACUGAUAUUAAGCUGAAUUUUUUUUUCCACCUUGCAUGUCCUCAGUCACUGGCAUUUUUCAUGUGACAAAGCAAAUGCUAAUUCUCUAUGGGCUGUAAGGGAAAACAGCUGCUAGUUAUAAUGGAGGUUUUGAGAGCACUUGGUCAACAAAACUGCAUAGGUUUAAGUACCUCCAGACUGUAUUACAUCUGUCAAAGCAGCAGCAAAUACAACAUAAAAUGUAGAGUAGGUCCCAUUUUUAGUGUGUCAGUAGAAUCAGCCUGCAGUUAUUUUUAACUGCCUUGGAAAGCUUAGCAGGCAGAUACAGUUAAUCCUUUAAAGGAUUUGCAGGUAUUCAUAGCUUAAUAAGUAAGCAUAGUGGAUUAAACCAAUAGAAGAUUGUAGACAGUCAAAGACAACCAUUACAUGCUAACAUUCAAAAAAUAAAAAGAACAGUUUCUUUUGUAUACUUUUUUUCCUGACAAUUGCUCUCAAUUGUCAGUAUGGGCCAGAAUCCCAUACAGUGAUGAAAUAAAAACGUUAAUUAGAGUCAUUAAAGUCAACAUGUGUGAUAUUUAAA